RNAcentral lists this non-coding RNA (23 nucleotides) under Mus musculus (house mouse). Lineage: Eukaryota; Metazoa; Chordata; Mammalia; Rodentia; Muridae. The record is from RNAcentral.
UAGCGGACACCUGUGCUUCAUUC